UACGGGAGGCAGCAGUAAGGAAUAUUGGUCAAUGGACGCAAGUCUGAACCAGCCAUGCCGCGUGGAGGAUGAAGGCCCUCUGGGUUGUAAACUUCUUUUAUAUGGGACGAAAAAGGGUCUUUCCAGAUCAACUGACGGUACCAUUUGAAUAAGCACCGGCUAACUCCGUGCCAGCAGCCGCGGUAAUACGGAGGGUGCAAGCGUUAUCCGGAUUCACUGGGUUUAAAGGGUGCGUAGGUGGGUUGAUAAGUCAGUGGUGAAAUCUCCGAGCUUAACUUGGAAACUGCCAUUGAUACUAUUGGUCUUGAAUAUUGUGGAGGUCAGCGGAAUAUGUCAUGUAGCGGUGAAAUGCUUAGAGAUGACAUAGAACACCAAUUGCGAAGGCAGCUGGCUACACAUAUAUUGACACUGAGGCACGAAAGCGUGGGGAUCAAACAGGAUUAGAUACCCUGGUAG
This 456-nucleotide ribosomal RNA is filed under the name uncultured Bacteroidota bacterium. Its description in RNAcentral is "bacterial SSU rRNA". It matches the Rfam family "Bacterial small subunit ribosomal RNA", at positions 340 to 793 of the family's 1533-position model. The record is from RNAcentral. Lineage: Bacteria; Pseudomonadati; Bacteroidota.